AUGCAUGAGCAGUGGCGGAGAGGAGGCAUGGCACUCCGGAGGCUGCUUCAGGGGAUUGUCCUACCGCGGACGACGGGCCGGCAUGUUGGGGCAUCGUUUUCCACGGAGGCUGGGGAGACUAUCCGCGCAACCCUGUUUCCCGGUGAUGGCAUCGGGCCUGAGAUCGCCGAGUCGGUCAAGCAGGUAUUCAAUGUUGCAGGUGUACCGAUAGAAUGGGAAGAACAUUAUGUUGGUACGGAAGUUGAUCCCAGAACAGAGAGCUUUUUGACAUGGGAGAGCCUGGAGUCUGUGCGUAGAAACAAAGUUGGCUUGAAAGGUCCUAUGGCUACACCUAUUGGAAAAGGCCACCGUUCUUUGAAUCUUACAUUAAGGAAAGAACUUGGACUCUACGCCAAUGUCAGACCUUGCAACAGCCUCCCAGGCUACAAGACUAGAUAUGAUGAUGUGAACCUUGUGACAAUCCGUGAAAAUACUGAAGGAGAGUAUAGUGGCCUUGAGCAUCAGGUUGUGAGGGGUGUUGUGGAAAGUUUGAAAAUUAUUACCCGCCAAGCAAGUUUGAGAGUGGCAGAGUAUGCUUUCCAUUAUGCCAAAGCCAAUGGCAGGGAGAGGGUCUCUGCGAUACAUAAAGCUAAUAUCAUGAGGAAAACAGACGGACUUUUCCUCAAGUGUUGCCGUGAAGUAGCUGAGAAGUACCCUGAAAUCACAUAUGAGGAAGUCAUUAUUGACAAUUGCUGCAUGACACUCGUGAAGAAUCCUGGUACAUUUGAUGUAUUAGUGAUGCCAAAUCUGUAUGGUGACAUUAUUAGUGAUCUAUGUGCUGGUUUGAUCGGAGGAUUGGGCUUAACUCCCAGCUGCAACAUUGGUGAAGGUGGCAUUUGUCUGGCAGAGGCUGUUCAUGGUUCUGCACCUGAUAUCUCUGGCAAGAACCUUGCAAACCCAACUGCUCUUAUGUUGAGUGCUGUUAUGAUGUUGCGCCACUUGCAAUUCAAUGACCAAGCAGACCGGAUCCACAAUGCCAUCCUCCAGACAAUUGCCGAGGGGAAGUACAGAACCGCUGAUCUUGGUGGGAAGUCAUCAACAUCAGACUACACAAAAGCAGUUUGCGAUCAUAUCUGA
RNAcentral lists this ribosomal RNA (1116 nucleotides) under Triticum aestivum (bread wheat). RNAcentral describes it as "partial small subunit ribosomal RNA". The record is from RNAcentral. Lineage: Eukaryota; Viridiplantae; Streptophyta; Magnoliopsida; Poales; Poaceae.